Molecule: transfer-messenger RNA, 356 nt
Filed under: Clostridiales bacterium
Lineage: Bacteria; Bacillati; Bacillota; Clostridia; Eubacteriales
Also listed under: 1 other name
Rfam family: transfer-messenger RNA
About the family: Bacterial tmRNA, also known as 10Sa RNA or SsrA, is named for its dual tRNA and mRNA-like properties. Its role is to liberate the mRNA from a stalled ribosome. To accomplish this part of the tmRNA is used as a reading frame that ends in a translation stop signal.
Source: RNAcentral
GGGGGCGUGCUGGUUUCGACGGGGAUGAUAGACUCAGGAAAAGCGGGUCGCGGCUUUCCGGGACCGCGUCAACAACCUGGAGAUAAAUAUAAACGCAAGAAAACCACAAGUAGCUUUAGCUGCGUAAUCAGCUAAGCCGUCCAACCUGAGAUUCCCGCAUCUUAGGACCUGGGCGUCGAUUCAGCGGGGAACCAGCCUGUCAAAGCUUUGAGACAGGUGGGAUUUCAUGAAGCUAGCGUAGCUUAAAUCCUGUUGCCGGGAGUUAAGCGAGGCGAAUCUUAAUACGGCAACUGCACCCGGAGAAGUUCCUGGGGAUACAUCUUCGGACAGGGGUUCAACUCCCCUCGCCUCCACCA